Molecule: long non-coding RNA, 3101 nt
Organism: Oncorhynchus tshawytscha (Chinook salmon)
Lineage: Eukaryota; Metazoa; Chordata; Actinopteri; Salmoniformes; Salmonidae
Source: Ensembl
CCCCUAUCUGUUUCCCUGUCUCUCCUCCUCUCAGCUCUAGACCCCUUGUUUCCGCUGUCUCUCCUCCUCUCAGCUCUAGACCCCUUCCACCCCUAUCUGUUUCCCCUGUCUCUCCUCCUCUCAGCUCUAGACCCCUUCCACCCCUAUCUGUUUCCUCUCUCUCCUCCUCCUCUCAGCUCUAGAACCCUUCCAUCCCCUGUCUCUCCUCCCCCUCUCAGCUCUAGACCCCUUCCACCCCGGGGUCUAUGUGGCUGGCUGGGGGAGCAUGCCUCCCUCUAGUUUGUCCCCUCACCAGGCGACCCUCUCUGCCCAGGCCUCCCUCUCUGCCCAGGCCACAGGCCUGCCUGCCCCCACCACAGGCCUGCCUGCCUGCCCCCAGGGGACCCUCCAACCCCCAGGCAACAUGGGACAGGCCUGCUUUAGUCCCCUGCCAGAUGCCUAUUGUGUGACUGGGACACUGGGCCUGGUCUGCUGGCCUGUUUUGACUGGCUGGCUUGCUGGCAGAUGGCUAACGUUACUGGAAGAAGUCUCAAGUGGGCUGGCUGCAAGACACAUACAGGCCAACCCAAGGCCCCUGACAGAGAGGGCACACUGGGUCUGUCGUGGGGGACUUGAGGACUUGGGGGGGAGAAGCAUCAAGCCACUGCUUUGUUGAGGCUUCUUUGUCGUUGUCCUUUUGGGAGGGGUUUAAUAUCCUCGCUUGUGUUACCUUCUGUGUUAAUAUUAUCAUUGUUAUUUCUUUUAAAUCAGGUUUAUAUAUGUAUGAUUAUGGAAUAUUUUAGGGCUGAUCUGUUGCACAGGUUUGAUUUGUUUUAAAUGGUUUUAAGGCGAUUAUUUGCUUUAAAAAUAUUCAAAAAUAACAAAUACAUUUUGACAGUGGUAUUGUGUACUAGCAUUAAAGGAUCCUCUAGCAUUAAAGGAUCCUCUAGCAUUAAAGGAUCCUCUAGCAUUAAAGGAUCCUCUAGCAUUAAAGGUUUGAGGUGUUGGUUGACUAGACUGAGGGGAGGUUUGAGGAGUUGGUUGACUAGACUAAGAGGGAAGGUUUGAGGAGUUGGUUGACUAGACUAAGAGGGACGGUUUGAGGAGUUGGUUGACUAGACUAAGAGGGAAGGUUUGAGGAGUUGGUUGACUAGACUAAGAGGGAAGGUUUGAGGAGUUGGUUGACUAGACUAAGAGGGAAGGUUUGAGGAGUUGGUUGACUAGACUAAGAGGGAAGGUUUGAGGAGUUGGUUGACCUGACGAAGAGGGAAGGUUUGAGGAGUUGGUUGACUAGACUAAGAGGGAAGGUUUGAGGAGUUGGUUGACUAGACUAAGAGGGAAGGUUUGAGGUGUUGGUUGACCUGACGAAGAGGGAAGGUUUGAGGAGUUGGUUGACUAGACUAAGAGGGAAGGUUUGAGGAGUUGGUUGACUAGACUAAGAGGGAAGGUUUGAGGAGUUGGUUGACUAGACUAAGAGGGAAGGUUUGAGGAGUUGGUUGACUAGACUAAGAGGGAAGGUUUGAGGAGUUGGUUGACCUGACGAAGAGGGAAGGUUUGAGGUGUUGGUUGACUAGACUAAGAGGGAAGGUUUGAGGAGUUGGUUGACUAGACUAAGAGGGAAGGUUUGAGGAGUUGGUUGACCUGACGAAGAGGGAAGGUUUGAGGUGUUGGUUGACUAGACUGAGGGGAGGUUUGAGGUGUUGGUUGACCUGACGAAGAGGGAAGGUUUGGCUAGAAGGAAGAAUCAUAGACGUGGUCGGUUUGAAGUCAGUCAGAAGAGUGGCCUUGUCAUCUAUAAUAAUACAUUUAUGGAGUUGCGUCCUGUUUUAAAAAUGAAGGCUGGGAGGUAGAGAGUGCUUGUUGAGACGGAGUGGCCGAAUUUGAGUUUAUUAUUUCUUGCAAAAUGAAAUGUAGCUCCUUUAAGAGGAGGAAGAAACAAGCAUGAUAAAAUCCUUCUUCAAAUGGUCUCCUGUUCACGCAGCCAUUUUGCAAGUCUUUAUAUCUGUAUAAUGAUGAAAUCUUUUAAUCUGUGUUAUUUUACAGAUUAUUUUUAUGAUAUAAUGUAGGUUGCUAGUAUGUGAUUCGCAUUAUUCUGGCUUCUGCAAAUGUGUUUACCACGAUAUUGACGUUUACCAACCCACUCAUCAUUCUAUCGUUUGAUGGGUUGUAUGUAAUCCACUGUACAGUAAUGGCCCGUAUUUAAGAAAACAGAACGAGUGCUCUGCGGGAAUGGUACAAACAGAGACUAUGGCUACAUCCUAUUUAGCUAUAGGGUUGUGUGGAUAGGAAGGUGGCCUUUCUAUGUCUUCUUACUAUGGCUUCAGGUCAUGUUGAAUGAACUGCUCUGUCUGGGACAGUCUGUCAGUCCUAUGACUACUAGUGUUACUUGCUCCUGAUUUCCCAUUGAAUUGAAUCUCUCUGGGAAGUUUUGUGUUAUUUUUUUUUCCUGUCUUGCAUCAAGAAUCCAAAUCUUUAAGUUUAGUCACACACCCAAGUCACUAGGAGGGUCUUGAAUUGAAACAUAUAUAUAUAUAUAUAUAUAUGAGUUGGGAGAUCUAUACAAACCCAUCCGUCUAAGUGUGCGCAUGCCUAUGAGCUGAUUUUAUUUAUUUUAUUUGAGGUUUUUAUUUAAAAUGUUCAUUUAGUUUUUAUUUUAUCAAUGGGUUUUGAUUUUAAGUGACUGAAUCCAUUGUGAUACCGAUGAUCUCUUGCCUGGUAAGUGUGGUAUUACUGUGAUAUUUUAGAUUGAAAGCUAUGCUGUAGUGCUAUUGGCCGAUUCUGGUUCCAUAUGCAAUGUAGUGACUCAUUGAAACACAAUGGGGUCCUUCCUCAUCUGUGACACUGGGCCUCCCGGCGCCCUCCGACACUUGACCUUUAGGUCACGUGACGUACCCGACUAUUGAAUGCAAUGCACCUCCAUUUGCAUGUCAUUGACAUUGGAAGGAGGGAGACAGAAUGAGAUGGGAGGUGUUGGCGUGGUUACUCAAGCGAGGCAAGCUAGUCUCCCUGCCAGAGGGUGAUGAUGAGCUGUAGAAUUUGUGGUUGGUCGUCAAUUCGUUUUUUGGUUUUUUUUUUAUUAAGCAAUUGAAAAAAUAAACUAACUGAAAAGAGAAGUGGAAAAA